UAGACAGCAGUAGCCGCGGGAAAACAGAGGGUGCGAGCGUUAAUCGGAUUUACUGGGCGUAAAGCGUGCGUAGGCGGCUUCUUAAGUCGGAUGUGAAAUCCCUGAGCUUAACUUAGGAAUUGCAUUCGAUACUGGGAAGCUAGAGUAUGGGAGAGGAUGGUAGAAUUCCAGGUGUAGCGGUGAAAUGCGUAGAGAUCUGGAGGAAUACCGAUGGCGAAGGCAGCCAUCUGGCCUAAUACUGACGCUGAGGUACGAAAGCAUGGGGAGCAAACAGGAUUAGAUACCCCUGUAGUCCCUGUCUCUUAUAU
RNAcentral lists this ribosomal RNA (308 nucleotides) under uncultured bacterium. Its description in RNAcentral is "partial 16S ribosomal RNA". It matches the Rfam family "Bacterial small subunit ribosomal RNA", at positions 503 to 809 of the family's 1533-position model. The record is from RNAcentral.